This 213-nucleotide ribosomal RNA is filed under the name Cardamine sp. 'Asian flexuosa'. Its description in RNAcentral is "partial 25S ribosomal RNA". It matches the Rfam family "Eukaryotic large subunit ribosomal RNA", at positions 1 to 212 of the family's 3401-position model. The record is from RNAcentral. Lineage: Eukaryota; Viridiplantae; Streptophyta; Magnoliopsida; Brassicales; Brassicaceae.
GCGACCCCAGGUCAGGCGGGAUCACCCGCUGAGUUUAAGCAUAUCAAUAAGCGGAGGAGAAGAAACUAACAAGGAUUCCCUUAGUAACGGCGAGCGAACCGGGAAGAGCCCAGCUUGAAAAUCGGAUGUCUUUGACGUUCGAAUUGUAGUCUGGAGAAGCGUCCUCAGCGACGGACCGGGCUCAAGUUCCCUGGAAAGGGGCGCCAGAGAGGG